RNAcentral lists this ribosomal RNA (1000 nucleotides) under Staphylococcus capitis. RNAcentral describes it as "bacterial SSU rRNA". It matches the Rfam family "Bacterial small subunit ribosomal RNA", at positions 56 to 1038 of the family's 1533-position model. The record is from RNAcentral. Lineage: Bacteria; Bacillati; Bacillota; Bacilli; Caryophanales; Staphylococcaceae.
UGCAGUCGAGCGAACAGACGAGGAGCUUGCUCCUCUGACGUUAGCGGCGGACGGGUGAGUAACACGUGGAUAACCUACCUAUAAGACUGGGAUAACUUCGGGAAACCGGAGCUAAUACCGGAUAACAUGUUGAACCGCAUGGUUCAACAGUGAAAGACGGUCUUGCUGUCACUUAUAGAUGGAUCCGCGCCGCAUUAGCUAGUUGGUAAGGUAACGGCUUACCAAGGCAACGAUGCGUAGCCGACCUGAGAGGGUGAUCGGCCACACUGGAACUGAGACACGGUCCAGACUCCUACGGGAGGCAGCAGUAGGGAAUCUUCCGCAAUGGGCGAAAGCCUGACGGAGCAACGCCGCGUGAGUGAAGAAGGUCUUCGGAUCGUAAAACUCUGUUAUUAGGGAAGAACAAAUGUGUAAGUAACUAUGCACGUCUUGACGGUACCUAAUCAGAAAGCCACGGCUAACUACGUGCCAGCAGCCGCGGUAAUACGUAGGUGGCAAGCGUUAUCCGGAAUUAUUGGGCGUAAAGCGCGCGUAGGCGGUUUUUUAAGUCUGAUGUGAAAGCCCACGGCUCAACCGUGGAGGGUCAUUGGAAACUGGAAAACUUGAGUGCAGAAGAGGAAAGUGGAAUUCCAUGUGUAGCGGUGAAAUGCGCAGAGAUAUGGAGGAACACCAGUGGCGAAGGCGACUUUCUGGUCUGUAACUGACGCUGAUGUGCGAAAGCGUGGGGAUCAAACAGGAUUAGAUACCCUGGUAGUCCACGCCGUAAACGAUGAGUGCUAAGUGUUAGGGGGUUUCCGCCCCUUAGUGCUGCAGCUAACGCAUUAAGCACUCCGCCUGGGGAGUACGACCGCAAGGUUGAAACUCAAGGAAUUGACGGGGACCCGCACAAGCGGUGGAGCAUGUGGUUUAAUUCGAAGCAACGCGAAGAACCUUACCAAAUCUUGACAUCCUCUGAUCCCUCUAGAGAUAGAGUUUCCCCUUCGGGGGACAGAGUGACAGU